UCGGCCCCGGUUCACGUACAGGCAAGCCCGCCUCGUACGACCCGGCGCC
RNAcentral lists this non-coding RNA (49 nucleotides) under unclassified sequences. Its description in RNAcentral is "L31-Actinobacteria ribosomal protein leader". It matches the Rfam family "L31-Actinobacteria ribosomal protein leader". The record is from RNAcentral.